GGAUGUGCGGGCGAUCUGGCUGCGACACCUGUCACACUGUUGAUCGCCAGAGCUGAUUCGGCUGAGCUGGCCGGCUAGGUGGGUCCCCUUCCGCCCUCACCACCCCACAUACAUUCCUCCUAAAGCUUCCCACUCAGUCCAAGGGGACGACCCUCCCUGACUGAGGAGGUCUGUUCUUUGGUCAAGGGCGAACGGGUAGCUGCGCGUCCCUGCUAGAACCUCCAAAUGAGCUCUUCACGUCGGAAAAUUAGAGACUCUAUAUUCCCAUAAACAUUGAUUGGGAAU
This 285-nucleotide small RNA is filed under the name Carlito syrichta (Philippine tarsier). Its description in RNAcentral is "7SK RNA (ENSTSYG00000034698.1)". It matches the Rfam family "7SK RNA", at positions 1 to 257 of the family's 331-position model. From Rfam's summary of the family: 7SK was discovered as an abundant small nuclear RNA in the mid-70s but a possible function has only recently been suggested. Two independent studies have found that 7SK RNA binds the CDK9/cyclin T complex (known as elongation factor P-TEFb). The record is from Rfam by way of RNAcentral. Lineage: Eukaryota; Metazoa; Chordata; Mammalia; Primates; Tarsiidae.